RNAcentral lists this long non-coding RNA (1133 nucleotides) under Zostera marina. RNAcentral describes it as "long non-coding RNA (ZMAR_LNC001600)". Lineage: Eukaryota; Viridiplantae; Streptophyta; Magnoliopsida; Alismatales; Zosteraceae. The record is from RNAcentral.
GUUAGAUAGAUUGAUAGAUUUUGUCGAUCUGCAACAAUAGCAUGUGUUAUGUUUAAUGGAUGUAUUGAUCGGUGACUAAAAAAGGAGUAAACAUUUUGUGUUUGAUAAAUGAUAAACCAUAAAUUCAAGGUAAUUAGCAGAACCUUAAACCCUAAUUCCUGCCAAGUUUUCAUGUUCUGAUAUAGAUAGUUAGGCAUGACUCAUGAGUAGUAGUAUUAGUUACACCCGGCCAUGUGGGUUCAUGGCCUACCUACCAAUCUACCAUUAAUUCAGAUGAUUUAAGCAUACCCAAGAAGGCAAGUUUCUUACCAGUUGUUUUGAUCAUCAGUCGAUGGUUCACAGGUAAGAGACCUAGAAAUAGGUAGUCAGAGACUUAGGGGGACGGUGGUCAAGUAGUUAGAGGUUAGAAGUUAGAACUAAUUGGAAAGAUCAAAGGUAGUAGUAGCUAGAUCUGUCUGUAGAUCGAAAAGAAUUGAAGGAACUGUUUAAGUUGAUUGGAAUUGUUAUUUUUUGUGUAAAGGGAUCUAUAGACAACAUACAUAGAUGAGACAUGGUGCACGUGAAACCGAGGUUUGAGUUUCAGAUGUCGGUACAUAAGGUAGCCCUACUUAGUUCGUAUACUCACUCUAUUCCACAGUUCAAAACAGCUCAGCUUUGAUGAGACAUCAGAAUGAAUCAAUUUAUAUAUGCUUCUUCUCCUUCACUCCUCCUGCCUUUAUAUAUAACCUGCAUAACCUACCACUCCUCUUUCUCAUCAUCGUCGUCGUCGUCGUCGUCGUCGUCAUCAUCCAUUUCUUCAUGGAGGAAUUAGCUGUGACUGAAAGAGUAGGGAAGUGGAAGAGAAUUGCAAGGCAACAGAAAGGGAAGCUCUAUAUCAUGAGGACUUGCAUCACCAUGCUUCUUUGCUGGCAUAAGUACUCAUAAAUCAUAAUCGUUCGAGAAGAGAAAGAGAACCAUUCUUUCUUUUUCUUAAUCCUGACAUGCACAUAUGCUGUUUUUUUUCUUUCUUUCAAUCAACUAGCUAGUUAGCUAGGUAAUAGUAUUAGAACUUCUUGUGAAUGGAUGUUUAGCUACUUAAUUAAUCAUAUAUAAUUUCUACUGCUACUUGAUAUUUACUGAAAAUAAAGCUCAGG